Long non-coding RNA from Harmonia axyridis, 871 nucleotides. RefSeq lists it as uncharacterized. NCBI's taxonomy places the organism in Eukaryota, Metazoa, Arthropoda, Insecta, Coleoptera, Coccinellidae. The record is from RefSeq and is a predicted model, not a curated record. The transcript is spliced from 3 exons.
CCUCCGAAUAUAUGCAUUAUAAUUUAAUUAAUAUUAUUUUUGCCAUAUCGCAAGCUGUUAUUUAACACAAAAUAACUUGAAAAUGGAAAUAAGUUACUUGAAGGCCUUAUUAGAAGAAUCACAAAGUAAAAAUAAAAUAUUAAUGGAGAAUAAUCGAUUAUUACUGGAGAAAAUCCAUAACAUUGAACAAGGUAAAAAAUCGAUAAACCUCCUAAAAAAGAAAGCACAAAUGCUGCGACUGAUAAGCGCCAAAAUCUUGAUAGCCUUCGAGUAAUAAAUAAAGACUCCCAAGCCGUUGCGCAGAAUCGAGAUAGUUAUGGCCAAUCAUACAGUUCUGUGCUCCAACGUCAGCCUUCAUCUGGUAUUGAAACCUGGGGAAAACAAAACCACGGAAUAGCAAUUAAGAAUAACAACAAAACUUUAAGAAGUAAACACGAAAUAUGUCUAAUUUACCAAAAUAUAUGCUCUAUAAACAACUCGCUUGAUCGUAUUGAACAUAGUGUGAAUAGCCAAAUUACAAAUUGUAAAAUUAUAUGUUUAACAGAACAUUGGCAAAGUAGUGAUGCAUUAGAAAACAUCCAAAUAGAUAACUUCAAGCUUGUAGCAAGUUAUUAUAGACCUAAAGUUUAUGGGGGGCAGCAGUUUAUCUGCAUCAAUCAGUCUUAGGAAAAGAGAGAAAAAAGCUGUCUCAUUUAUCAGUAGAGGGUGAAUUCGAGUGUGCUGUGGCGGAAUGUGUAUUAAAUUCAGAAAUUUUCUCAAUAUUAUCAAUAUAUCGUCCACCUAAUGGAAAUAUUAUAGUAUAGGAUCCCGAUAUAAAACGACCUUCACCGAGAUGCUUAUUUGAUAAAACGUAUUUUAUAUUUAAUUUAAC